RNAcentral lists this unclassified non-coding RNA (301 nucleotides) under Streptomyces ambofaciens. RNAcentral describes it as "16S-23S ribosomal RNA E intergenic spacer". Lineage: Bacteria; Bacillati; Actinomycetota; Actinomycetes; Kitasatosporales; Streptomycetaceae. The record is from RNAcentral.
AAGGAGCACUUCUAGGCUGCUUCGGCAGUCCAGAGGCCAGUACAUCAGCGAAUGUCUGAUGCUGGUUGCUCAUGGGUGGAACGUUGACUACUCGGCACACUCGGCCAUCUCGGCUUCCCAGUACUGCUUCGGCGUGGAACGGAAGGAAGAGUGGUGAGGGUGUCGGGCACGCUGUUGGGUAUCUGAGGGUACGGCCGUUGGCCUGCUUUCAGUGCCGGCCCCAGUGCACUCGGGAUGUUGUCCCGGGGUGAUGGGUGGUUGGUCGUUGUUUGAGAACUGCACAGUGGACGCGAGCAUCUGU